RNAcentral lists this ribosomal RNA (442 nucleotides) under Maritimibacter alkaliphilus. RNAcentral describes it as "bacterial SSU rRNA". It matches the Rfam family "Bacterial small subunit ribosomal RNA", at positions 36 to 524 of the family's 1533-position model. The record is from RNAcentral. Lineage: Bacteria; Pseudomonadati; Pseudomonadota; Alphaproteobacteria; Rhodobacterales; Roseobacteraceae.
CCCGGGCGGGCAGCUUACACAUGCAGUCGAGCGAAGACUUCGGUCUUAGCGGCGGACGGGUGAGUAACGCGUGGGAACGUGCCCUUCACUACGGAAUAGUCCCGGGAAACUGGGUUUAAUACCGUAUACGCCCUUCGGGGGAAAGAUUUAUCGGUGAAGGAUCGGCCCGCGUCUGAUUAGAUAGUUGGUGGGGUAACGGCCUACCAAGUCGACGAUCAGUAGCUGGUUUUAGAGGAUGAUCAGCCACACUGGGACUGAGACACGGCCCAGACUCCUACGGGAGGCAGCAGUGGGGAAUCUUAGACAAUGGGCGCAAGCCUGAUCUAGCCAUGCCGCGUGAGUGAUGAAGGCCUUAGGGUCGUAAAGCUCUUUCGCCAGGGAUGAUAAUGACAGUACCUGGUAAAGAAACCCCGGCUAACUCCGUGCCAGCAGCCGCGGUAAU